RNAcentral lists this non-coding RNA (121 nucleotides) under unclassified sequences. Its description in RNAcentral is "DUF3800-I RNA". It matches the Rfam family "DUF3800-I RNA". From Rfam's summary of the family: Actinobacteria, Firmicutes, Fusobacteria, Proteobacteria (1 example), Tenericutes (2 examples). Terminator (Clostridia) The record is from Rfam by way of RNAcentral.
UGUAAUCACAGACAGAAAUGUACUGUAUACAUUUGCAGUUGAUAAUUGCUAUUAAGCGUAAUGUAAGUACGCCGACGCAAAUGGGGAGAGCCGCUUUUGAGCGGUUCUUUUUUGUUUAAAA